Molecule: long non-coding RNA, 700 nt
Organism: Xenopus tropicalis (tropical clawed frog)
Lineage: Eukaryota; Metazoa; Chordata; Amphibia; Anura; Pipidae
Exons: 3
Source: RefSeq, a predicted model, not a curated record
CAGAGAACAUUUUCUUUUAUGGUAUAUCAUCAAGCAUAGACUUUGUGGAGAGGAGAACAUCACCAACUAUAUCACAAUGAUCUAACAUCUGGCCAUAAGAACAAUGGGUCAAAAGCUCAGAAUGAAGAUGGAGAAGGAAGAAGAAUUGGGACCAGUGAACUUCAAGUUAAACCUUCUGCCAUUCAAGAAGACCCUCGUGCCAUAGAGUAAGAAAAGAAAGAGAUGACUGUUUCAGAGUGGAAAGUAAAAGGGACUUGUACUGCAUGAGAGGGAGUGGACAAGCCUCCUGCUUUAGCAGAGGAAGAAGUGCCCCCUGUGGAAGCAGAGUUAGCAGAAGAGCCUCCUGCUUCAAGGGAGGAAGGUGAAGCACCACCGGCUGAGGGACACCUGAACCUUAAAAGUCGGGUUAAAAAGGCUCUCACAAAGAGAUGCCAGAGAAUUUGGGUAAUAUAUUUAUUUAGUUGCAAUCUCUUUUCAUGUGGUAAUGCAUCAUGCAGUGCAGUUCCACUUCACUUCCAGCUGUAUCAGUUGUUUAGACUGUCUACCCAAACAAUUGGAGUAAUAGAAAGGCAGCCAUAGUGAAUAUAGCCCUUUGUACACUCUAUGCCAGAGGCCAUAACUGAUAGGCCAGUCUAUGGCCACCUUUAGGCUCAGUGUCAGACUGGCCCACCAGGAUACCAGGAAAACUCUUGGUCGGCCC